AUUGAACGCUGGCGGCAGGCCUAACACAUGCAAGUCGAGCGAGCGGCGGACGGGUGAGUAAUGUCUGGGAAACUGCCUGUUGGAGGGGGAUAACUACUGGAAACGGUAGCUAAUACCGCAUACCAUCAGAUGUGCCUAGAUGGGAUUAGCUGGUAGGUGGGGUAACGGCCCACCUAGGCGACGAUCCCUAGCGGGUCUGAGAGGAUGACCAGCCACACUGGAACUGAGAAACGGUCCAGACUCCUACGGGAGGCAGCAGUGGGGAAUAGUGCACAAUGGGCGAAAGCCUGAUGCAGCCAUGCCGCGUGUGUGAAGAAGGCCUUCGGGUUGUAAAGCACUGUCAGCGGGGAGGCGUUACCCGCAGAAGAAGCACCGGCUAACUCCGUGCCAGCAGCCGCGGUAAUAC
This 406-nucleotide ribosomal RNA is filed under the name uncultured bacterium. RNAcentral describes it as "partial 16S ribosomal RNA". It matches the Rfam family "Bacterial small subunit ribosomal RNA", at positions 29 to 526 of the family's 1533-position model. The record is from RNAcentral.